Molecule: ribosomal RNA, 412 nt
Filed under: uncultured bacterium
Lineage: Bacteria
Description: bacterial SSU rRNA
Rfam family: Bacterial small subunit ribosomal RNA
Source: RNAcentral
GUGUCAGCCGCCGCGGUAAUACGGAGGGUGCAAGCGUUAAUCGGAAUUACUGGGCGUAAAGCGCACGCAGGCGGUCUGUCAAGUCGGAUGUGAAAUCCCCGGGCUCAACCUGGGAACUGCAUUCGAAACUGGCAGGCUAGAGUCUUGUAGAGGGGGGUAGAAUUCCAGGUGUAGCGGUGAAAUGCGUAGAGAUCUGGAGGAAUACCGGUGGCGAAGGCGGCCCCCUGGACAAAGACUGACGCUCAGGUGCGAAAGCGUGGGGAGCAAACAGGAUUAGAUACCCUGGUAGUCCACGCCGUAAACGAUGUCGACUUGGAGGUUGUGCCCUUGAGGCGUGGCUUCCGGAGCUAACGCGUUAAGUCGACCGCCUGGGGAGUACGGCCGCAAGGUUAAAACUUAAAUAAAUUGACGG